This 468-nucleotide ribosomal RNA is filed under the name uncultured bacterium. RNAcentral describes it as "partial 16S ribosomal RNA". It matches the Rfam family "Bacterial small subunit ribosomal RNA", at positions 28 to 507 of the family's 1533-position model. The record is from RNAcentral.
GACGAACGCUGGCGGCGGGCUUAACACAUGCAAGUCGAACGGAAAGGCCCUUCUUUUGUUUGGUCCUCGAGUGGCGAACGGGUGAGUAACACGUAAGUAACCUGCCCUUGACUGGGGGAUAACUUCAGGAAACGGGGGCUAAUACCGGAUAGGAGCUCCUGCUGCAUGGUGGGGGUUGGAAAGUUGCGGCGGGUGGGGAUGGAGUCGCGGGUUGUCAGGUUGUUGGGGGGGUAGAGGCUUACCAAGGCUUUUACGGGUAGCCGGCCUGAGGGGGUGAACGGCCAUACUGGGACUGAGCUUCCGCCAAGCCGCCUAAGGGAGGCAGCAGUGGGGAUUAUUGCACAAUGGCAGGAAGCCUGAGUGAGCGAAGCCGCGCGCGGGAUGACGGACUUGGGGUUGUCAACCGAUAUAGCCUGCGACGGCGCGGGAGUGACGGUAAUAGGUAAAGAAGCAACGGCUAACUACGUG